AGACAACUUGUGGUCCAAAUACA
Molecule: non-coding RNA, 23 nt
Filed under: Arabidopsis thaliana (thale cress)
Lineage: Eukaryota; Viridiplantae; Streptophyta; Magnoliopsida; Brassicales; Brassicaceae
Source: RNAcentral